UUAAGUUCAGCGGGUAUUCCUACCUGAUCCGAGGUCAACCUUUGGGUACCUUGAGAAGGUGGCUUUCACGGCCGGAACCCGCCCCACGCCCUGAGCGAGACAAAUAUGCUACUACGCUCGGUGUGGACAGCGAGCCCGCCACUGGUUCAGGGCCUGCGGGUGUGCCGCAGGUCCCCAACACAAGCCGGGGGCUUGAUGGU
This 200-nucleotide unclassified non-coding RNA is filed under the name Chaetomium sp. RNAcentral describes it as "partial internal transcribed spacer 2". The record is from RNAcentral. Lineage: Eukaryota; Fungi; Ascomycota; Sordariomycetes; Sordariales; Chaetomiaceae.